CACAGGGCCCCAUGAGGGGCUCGAACCUUCUAACGGUGAAUCCUGGGAAACACUUAUACAUCCAACUCCUUCACCCUGGUGCCACCUGUAUUGCAUGUUGUUUUCGAUCUUUGAGUAGGAAGGUUCCUCUUCACUUCCUUAAGAUUAGAAAUGCUCAUUUGGCUAACUGAUCUAGUCAGUAAUGAACACCAAAUGCUGACUAGGAGACUCAGGAGCUGGUGCCGAAGGUGGACAUGGAAGAAGGAGACGGUGGGAUCUGCACAUGAAUGAAGAGACCUGACUGUGAAGUGUUAGAGGAUUUAUUAAAGAACUGGACAGUUUCCUUUAUAGUCUUUGUGAAGCCUCAGAGUUACUAACUGCCAGUGCAAUAUGGUAUCACAAAGAUAAUAGCCUUUAUUAGAAGUUUAGUUUUCUAUUCCUACCUUGGAAAGCUGUAGCUUAAGAAACCCAAGUGGUCAACGUUUGUGGCACUUCUCUCUCUCUUCCAGAACCAUUUAAAAUAUAUGUUUUUUAAAUUUAGUUUUGCCGGAAAAAUCUGCAUCCAAUUUGAAUGAAAUUGAAUAUGUUUCAGGGCUCAAGCAGCAUGUCUUCCAUCUGAAGCAAAAUGGAGAUGAAUUUCAAUUAGGUGUUCCCAUUAUAAUCUGUCUCCACCUGUAGUUUUCAUCAAAAAUUGCUAGGAAGUGUGGUAUAAUGUAUGAUCAGGAUUUGCCCACUGGCAGCAGUGUCCCAUUAUCUUAGUAAAAAAGCACAAAAUAAUUAGUCUGAUGCAUAUAGAUAGCAGCUCCUUAC
Long non-coding RNA from Hyaena hyaena (striped hyena), 789 nucleotides. RefSeq lists it as uncharacterized. The transcript is spliced from 4 exons. Lineage: Eukaryota; Metazoa; Chordata; Mammalia; Carnivora; Hyaenidae. The record is from RefSeq and is a predicted model, not a curated record.